CCUACGUGUGGCAGCAGUGGGGAAUAUUGGACAAUGGGCGAAAGCCUGAUCCAGCCAUGCCGCGUGUGUGAAGAAGGCCUUCGGGUUGUAAAGCACUUUCAGUGGGGAAGAAAGCCUUGGGGCUAAUACCCUCGAGGAAGGACAUCACCCACAGAAGAAGCACCGGCUAACUCCGUGCCAGCAGCCGCGGUAAUACGGAGGGUGCGAGCGUUAAUCGGAAUUACUGGGCGUAAAGCGCGCGUAGGCGGUCUGAUAAGCCGGUUGUGAAAGCCCCGGGCUCAACCUGGGAACGGCAUCCGGAACUGUCAGGCUAGAGUGCAGGAGAGGAAGGUAGAAUUCCCGGUGUAGCGGUGAAAUGCGUAGAGAUCGGGAGGAAUACCAGUGGCGAAGGCGGCCUUCUGGACUGACACUGACGCUGAGGUGCGAAAGCGUGGGUAGCAAACAGGAUUAGAUACCCCUGUAGUC
RNAcentral lists this ribosomal RNA (465 nucleotides) under Vreelandella stevensii. RNAcentral's name for it is "partial 16S ribosomal RNA". It matches the Rfam family "Bacterial small subunit ribosomal RNA", at positions 338 to 795 of the family's 1533-position model. The record is from RNAcentral. Lineage: Bacteria; Pseudomonadati; Pseudomonadota; Gammaproteobacteria; Oceanospirillales; Halomonadaceae.